GAGAUAACGGCAAAGAUAGAAAGAAGGAAGACCGAAAGAGAUAAGAAGGGAGACCGCUGUCACGAAGGAAAGACUUUCGUCUAGGAACUAUAGUAGACGCUUGCUGGAAUUCCAGGUACCCUUCCAUACAACUUGGACAAAGGAGAGAGAGAGCAUACAAUGCAAUUUGGAUAAUGGAUGAUCAUCACGAAGCUUAUCCAGUCUUCAGAACAACUUGGAGUGUUUUGAGUAUAAACCUUUUUCAAACCAUGCAAUUGUCCUAGUUUUGUUUCCCUUAGUGUUGUGAUAAAU
Molecule: small RNA, 291 nt
Filed under: Vigna angularis var. angularis
Lineage: Eukaryota; Viridiplantae; Streptophyta; Magnoliopsida; Fabales; Fabaceae
Description: Non-protein coding transcript
Source: RNAcentral